UACGAAGGACCCGAGCGUUAUCCGGAUUCAUUGGGUUUAAAGGGUGCGUAGGCGGAAUGGUAAGUCAGUGGUGAAAUCCUGCGGCUUAACUGCAGAACUGCCAUUGAUACUGCCAAUCUUGAGUACAUUUGAUGUGGGCGGAAUGUGCCAUGUAGUGGUGAAAUACUUAGAUAUGGCACAGAACACCGAUCGCGAAGGCAGCUCACAAAACUGUAACUGACGCUGAGGCACGAAAGCGUGGGGAUCAAACAGG
Molecule: ribosomal RNA, 253 nt
Filed under: uncultured bacterium
Lineage: Bacteria
Description: partial 16S ribosomal RNA
Rfam family: Bacterial small subunit ribosomal RNA
Source: RNAcentral